This 1493-nucleotide long non-coding RNA is filed under the name Sus scrofa (pig). RNAcentral's name for it is "lncRNA (ENSSSCG00065018408.1)". The record is from RNAcentral. Lineage: Eukaryota; Metazoa; Chordata; Mammalia; Artiodactyla; Suidae.
GGAUUUAUGCCAUUGACUCCCCUGGCUCUUGGGCCUUUGGAUUUGGACUGGAACUACACCGCUGGCUUGCCUGGUUCUCCAGCUUGCAGAUGACAAGAGCAUUCGACAUCUCGGCCUCCAGAAUCAUAGACAGUGUUUCAAAAUGCAGAAGCAAAGAAUAAAUGUUGCAGUCUUUUGAAAGGAAAGUAUUACAAUGAGAGAAAUAUUAUUAAAACAUACACCUUGAAGGGAAAUCCUUCAGCACAAGGAGUCAACUGAAGUAACAACUGCAAGAGUUUUAUGCAGUUGAAGGACAAAUAUAACUAGAUUUGCCUUUUGAAUAUUAUCAGAGAAUGCCAGAAUGUUAUAGUCUGCUAAGAGUGAAGGUUAUUCACUGAAGACAGAUAUGAAGUUCCAGAUGUGUAUGGCUCAAAGUGGAAGCUCAACACAUUUUCCUAUGUGACUUUACUGCAUGCUGCUUCAACUGCCUCUUGCAAUGAAUGAGUUUCUUCCCACACUUUUCUUCCUGUUUGCUACAAAUGUGUUGAUUAAAUUAAAUGUGGCAGAGGCGAAGAGAAUUUAAGUAACUUGACCAAGAUUUCAUGGCUCAUAAGUGGUGCAGCUAGGCAUACAACCCAGACUUCUGACUCUAGAAAUCAUGCUUUCAAUCACAUCACUAUCCUGCUUCCCAUAUUAGUGAAGUCAGUAAGCUGCUGAGAGUUCUACUUUUUCUUAGGUUGUGCUUCAAGGGAAGUUUAAGGCCGGCAAGGGAGAAGAUGCUUCUCAGAGGUUUGGAUAAACCUGCCUUUUUCAUCAUCCUGAACAGGUCCUAAGCUUUCUGCUAGGUAUAGAGAGAGUCAUCCUCCCUUCUGCCUCCACUGCUUAUGUUCACAUUUUCUGCUUCCUAUUAGCCUGGGCUGGGGUCAGUCUUACUCAUUUUUUUUUUUUUUUUUUUUCAAGAAACAUCCAAUUACUUCUCAGACUAUUAUAAGAUUAGAAAGAGAGCUGACUAUAAUGGAGGUUGUUUCUGUUAACUACUUCUGUGUAAAAGACUACCUCAAAACUUAGUGCCAUGAAAGGAAGACCCUUUGUUAUUUCUUAUGCUUAUGCAAUCUUGGAAAUGAUUUGCUUUCCUUAAGGACAGAUAAUAAUAGAUGCUAAUAACUUAUUUCUCUUUCUGGCACCCCAACACCCUAAAGCUGGUGAGGUGAAAUGUGGGGACCUUACAGACUGUUCUUCUCAGUGAUUGCAGGAAUGUUUUAAUGUCAGCAUCAUAUAUAGAAAGAGCAUUGGACCAAAUAUAAGACGACUUUGGGCUCAGUCUUUGUUCCACCAUUUGGUAGCUAUGUUAACUGGAGCAAACCAUAGUCAUUUAAAUUCUGAGUCAAAAUCUUAAUAUGGUCAAUGAGUUAGAUACUCACCUCACUGGCUUGUUACCGUAUGGUGGAGAUAGAUUAACAAUGUGCAUAGGCUGUUUUGAAAAAGGUCAAACAAUAAACCAACAAUACCUAGUG